Long non-coding RNA from Cyprinus carpio carpio, 1602 nucleotides. NCBI's taxonomy places the organism in Eukaryota, Metazoa, Chordata, Actinopteri, Cypriniformes, Cyprinidae. The record is from Ensembl.
AAGUGCUAAGAUUAUCACAAAUUAAACAAGACUUCCUGACUGGCAGACCGCAGUCUGUUAGGAUUGGAAAUAGGACCUCGGACACUGUCAUUACAAACACUGGCACCCCACAAGGGUGUGUUCUCAGUCCCAUCCCUAUCCGAUACAUGAGGGUGAGUCAUUAACGACUCACCCUCAUUUCGUUCCAAACCCAUAAGACCUCCGUUUAUCUUCGGAACACAGUUUAAGAUAUUUUAGAUUUAGUCCGAGAGCUUUCUGACCCUCCAUUGAAAAUGUAUGUACGGUAUACUGUCCAUGUCCAGAAAGGUAAUAAAAACAUCAUCAAAGUAUAGUCCAUGUGACAUCAGAGGGUCAGUUAGAAUUUAUUGAAGCAUCGAAAAUACAUUUUGGUAUUUUCAACUUUAUUCAGCACUGUCUUCUCUUCCGGGUCUGUUGUAAGUGCGUUCACAACACUGCAGUGACGCCGCUGACGUACGACGCUGCUGACAUGUUAUCUUUGUUAUUGGGCGCACCAGAAAAUACGUCAGCAGCGUCGUACGUUAGUGGCGUCACUGCAGUGUUGUGAAUGGAGGUCUUACGCGUUUGGAACGACAUGAGGGUGAGUCAUUAAUGACAUAAUUUUAAUUUUUGGGUGAACUAACCCUUUAAUGUGCCUUAACUUAUUUAGAUGAAACGAUAAAGUUGCUUUUUGGCAAUGGCUUCAAACAAAGAGAAAUGUACUCUUUUCUUGCUGCUUCUGGAUACAACAUCAGUGAAAGGCAUCUAAGAAGAUUAAUAAAAUCCCUUGGUUUAAUACGGAGGAGUUUUGACAGGCCCCAUAGUGAAAUUCGCCAAGCUGUUAUGGUACAGUAUGUCUUAAAGCAGUGUUCUGCGUUCCUGCUCCUGGAAAGCCACUAACUUUCUGAUUUCAGUUCCAGUCAUUUACUAAAACACCUGCAGUCAGCUGCAAAAAAACUGCCUGAAGUUAAGAAAAAUCCAAAUGGCUAAGUGUGGUGUCUCAUACUCUGAAUUUGUGCUCUGCAUUUAACCCAUCCAAGUGCGCGCGCCACACACACACACACACACACACACACACACACACACACACACACACACACACACACAUGCACACACCAUGAACACACACCCGGAGCAGUGGGCAGCCACUUUUUGCUGCAGCACCCAGGGAGCAGUUGUGGGUUCAGUGUCUAGCUCAAAGGGACCUCUGUUGUGGGUAGUCCUGGUCAUUCACUCCCCCAACCUUCAUUCCCUGCUGGUGCUGAGACUCAAUCCCGUGACCUUCAGGCUACAAGUCUGACUCUCUAACCAUUAGGCCACGACCCAUAAACCUAACUGUGUUUCAACUGGACACUGGCAGUAAUUUCCAUGUAAACUCAAAUGCUUUGAUUUGUUGAUUCAGAUGCAUUUAAUUAAGUCAGGGUGUCCAAUCCUGCUCCUGGAGGUUGUGUGUGUGUGUGUGUAAAAUAUUUAUUGUGGUAAUAAUCCAAAAUAAUAUUUAUUUAGAGUGAGCUUAUGCACUGGUCACCUUUGCAAGGAAUCUGUGCAUUGCACAAUCCAGCCUUGCUACAGGUAUAUAUAUAUAUUAUCUAUAUUAACCCUAUU